UAUAAGCGUAUACCAAAGUUGUUGCAGUUAAAACGCUCGUAGUCGGAAUUUGGCAGUUCCGGAUGUGUGCACGUCGUGUGCGCACUUCGCGGGGAUUGCUUUUGUGGUCUUGCGUAGGAUGAGGCACUUUUAUUAGUGAACGUCCUCACGCAACCACUUUUUACUGUGAGAAAAUCAGAGUGCUCAAAGCAGGCAUUUGCCGUGAAUGUAUUAGCAUGGAAUAAUAGAAUAGGACUUGGUUCUAUUUUGUUGGUUUGUUGGGACUGAGUAAUGAUUAAGAGGGACAGUUGGGGGCAUUUGUAUUUCGGUGCUAGAGGUGAAAUUCUUAGAUUACCGAAAGACAAACUGCUGCGAAAGCGUCUGCCAAGGAUGUUUUCAUUGA
RNAcentral lists this ribosomal RNA (382 nucleotides) under uncultured eukaryote. Its description in RNAcentral is "partial 18S ribosomal RNA". It matches the Rfam family "Eukaryotic small subunit ribosomal RNA", at positions 592 to 976 of the family's 1831-position model. The record is from RNAcentral.